UCGAGGCAGGCAGCGGAACCACUGAGCUAAAUACCUGGCCCUCAAAUUUGUAUUAUUCUUGAAUGCUGCUGUUUGGUCUUUACUGAUGAAGAGUUAUUAUGCUGAGUCCUUAUGGAGUGAGAGAGCCCGACGUGGAUCCCAGCACUGCAGAGACUGAGGCAGGAGGAUCACUGGAACCUUGAGCCAGCCAGGCCAGCUAUACAUAGUGAGUUCAAGGCCAGCCCAAACCACAUGUACUUUCUUUUGGACCCUUGGAUGCCCAUUGGACAGACACUUGAAAUCUGCAAGUCAUCUUCAGAUUGUAGCUGGACCAUCAGGCCUUUCCUUUGUGUGGGGAGGAGAUAGCCCAUGUGCUGUGGAGAUGAACAGGGAACAGCAGCUUGAUCCAGAUGCUGGAUCUGGUAUGGAAGAAGUGGAAUUAAGCUGGGAAGAUUAUCUAGAAGAGACAGGGUCCACAGCAGUUCCCUAUGGGUCAUUUAAACAUGUGGACACACGUUUGCAAAAUGGAUUUGCUCCUGGUAUGAAACUGGAGGUGGCUGUGAGAACAAAUCCUGAAACCUACUGGGUUGCCACCAUUAUUACUACCUGUGAGCAGUUGCUCCUCCUCCGCUAUGAUGGCUAUGGGGAGGAUCGGAGAGCAGACUUCUGGUGUGACAUUCGAAAGGCUGAUCUCUACCCCAUUGGAUGGUGUGAGCAGAAUAAGAAGACUCUUGAAGCCCCAGAAGGCAUCAGAAAUAAAGUGUCUGAUUGGGAUGCCUUUCUGCGGCAGGCCCUGACUGGUGCAUGUAGUCCUCCUGUUCCACUGCUAGAGGGCCUCCGCCAUGGAAGGAAUCCUUUAGAUCUCAUUGCUCCAGGCUCCAGGCUAGAAUGCCAAGCUUUUCGGGAGUCUCUAAGUACUUGGAUUGUUACUGUAGUAGAAAACAUUGGGGGACGGCUGAAGCUGCAUUAUGAAGGACUUGAAAGUCCUGACAAUUUCGAACAUUGGUUGUAUUACUUGGAUCCAUUUCUUCAUCAUGUUGGUUGGGCCGCUCAACAGGGAUAUGAACUUCACCCUCCAUUAGCCAUCAGACAUUUGAAAAAUGAAGCUGAGUGGCAGGAGAUUUUGGCCAAAGUCAAAGAGGAGGAAGAAGAGCCAUUACCAUCUUAUUUAUUUAAGGACAAACAGGUUAUUGGCAUUCAUACAUUCUCUGUAAAUAUGAAAUUGGAAGCUCUGGACCCAUGGUCACCUUUUGAGAUCUCUCCUGCUACGGUUGUUAAGGUUUUUGAUGAGAAGUACUUUCUGGUGGAGAUGGAUGACUUGCGGCCAGAGGGCCAUACACGGCGAUCAUUUGUGUGCCAUGUUAACAGUCCUGGCAUCUUUCCUGUGCAGUGGAGUCUAAAGAACGGUAUACAUAUCAGCCCACCUCCAGGCUACCCAGGCCAGGACUUCGACUGGGCUGACUACCUCAAACAGUGCGGUGCUGAAGCUGCUCCCCAGCGGUGCUUCCCCCCGUCAGUUUCUGAGCAUGAGUUUAAGGAGAACAUGAAGCUUGAGGCAGUGAACCCUCUUCUCCCUGAAGAAGUGUGCAUCGCCACCAUUACUGCAGUCAGAGGCCCCUACCUGUGGCUCCAGCUGGAGGGAUCUAAGAAGCCUGUACCUGAAUGUAUUGUGAGUGUGGAAUCCAUGGAUAUAUUUCCUUUGGGCUGGUGUGAGACCAAUGGCCACCCCCUCAGCACUCCUCGCCGGGCACGAGUCCAUAAACAGAGGAAAAUUGCGGUGGUUCAACCAGAAAAACAAAUACCAUCCUCGAGACCUGUUCACGAGGGCCUAAAGAGUCAAGAGCUGAACUCUGCAGACUCAGUUACAAUUAAUGGAAAGUAUUGCUGUCCAAAGAUAUAUUUCAACCACCGUUGCUUCUCAGGGCCAUAUCUUAACAAGGGAAGAAUUGCUGAGCUCCCACAAUGUGUAGGACCUGGGAACUGUGUUCUGGUCCUCAGAGAGGUCCUCACUUUACUUAUCAACGCAGCCUAUAAGCCCAGUCGUGUUCUUCGGGAGCUCCAGCUGGACAAAGACUCUGUGUGGCAUGGUUGUGGGGAAGUUCUAAAAGCCAAAUAUAAAGGAAAGAGUUAUCGGGCUACUGUUGAAAUAGUGAAAACAGCAGAUCGGGUGACUGAAUUCUGCCGGCAAACCUGUAUCAAACUGGAAUGCUGUCCUAACCUCUUUGGUCCACGGAUGGUUCUGGAUACAUGUUCUGAGAACUGCUCUGUACUUACAAAGACCAAAUACAAUGCUAGAGAGGAUUUGGAAUAUUCCCAACAAAAAAGAAAUGCACACUAUUACGGAAAGAAGAAAAAUAAAAGAAUUGGGAGGCCACCUGGUGGGCAUAGUAACUUAGCUUGUGCCCUGAAAAAAGCCAGUAAGAGAAGAAAAAGGCGGAAAAAUGUUUUUGUUCAUAAGAAGAAACGCUCCUCUGCAUCUGUUGACAAUACCCCAGUGGGCUCACCCCAGGGAAGUGGGGUUGAAGAUGAAGAUGAUGUAGAUGAAGGGGAUGAUGAUUCCCUAAGUGAAGGCAGUACAUCAGAGCAGCAGGAUGAGUUACAGGAAGAGUCAGAAAUGUCAGAAAAAAAGUCAUGCUCCUCCUCUCCCACCCAAAGUGAGAUGUCCACCUCGCUGCUCCCAGACCGACAAAGGAGAAAGAGAGAGCUUCGUACUUUCUCAUUUUCUGAUGAUGAAAAUAAACCUCCUUCACCAAAGGAAAUAAGGAUUGAAGUUGCUGAAAGACUUCAUCUGGAUAGUAACCCCCUGAAGUGGAGUGUGGCAGAUGUUGUGCGGUUCAUCAGAUCCACCGACUGUGCUCCAUUAGCAAGAAUAUUCCUAGACCAGGAAAUCGAUGGGCAGGCCCUGUUGCUCCUCACCCUUCCCACCGUUCAAGAGUGCAUGGACUUAAAAUUGGGCCCUGCCAUCAAGCUUUGCCAUCACAUAGAGAGGAUCAAGUUUGCUUUUUAUGAGCAGUUUGCCAACUGAGAAGGACAACCAAAGUGAGCUGGACCUUUGAAGCACAAAUGCAGCAAAUCCUUCACCCUAUUCUAGAAAUGGAGCUGGAUAGUCCUGGGGCUAUGGGCCCUGUGGGUGUUGGCUUGCGCUCUUUGCACUUUCAGGGAAGGAGGACCCACACUGAGGAAGCAAAAUGGCACAAAAGUGGCUCUCCUGCCAGUGGAAAUGUGGACAUCUCAUGUUCAGCACAUUGCAGUUUUUAGGAAAUAAAGAUUGUGAAGAAAAAACUCACACGAAGAGUAAGCAUUUCCAGUGGUGUGGACUGAAGACAAAGAAUAAUCUAGCUCAGGAAAAGUAGGAAGAGCAGAACCCACAGUGACCUUGCUCCUGACACUGGAGAUUCUGCCCUUGAACCCUAAAGAUGAUUCUUGUUCUCUUUGAGCCUUAAGGGUUCCUCCGCAUCUGGAUGUGCAGACAGGUCCUUAUCCAAAACUUCAUUUUUCAGCCCACUGUGCAGUUUUCCUUGAGCUAUCUGUGUCUUCAAGCAACCCAAAGUCUCCUUAUUCCCAAUCACAGUCUCCUCUGCUUUAAGACAUGUCCUCUGGUUUGGUUCUCUCUGAACAACUACUGUUAAUCGUUGAGCAUCCUCAUAAGAUUUCUCUUGGUCUUGAAGGCAGUAAUCUAAUUUUAAUCUUCUUUUAUCCAUUUAUUUUCUUAAACUGAUUUUCUGUAAUUGCCCAUGGUCAAUAUUUGUGCAGAGUUUUAAAAUUUAUAAAUUAAACUUCAACUUAAUUUAAAAAGUA
Non-coding RNA from Heterocephalus glaber (naked mole-rat), 3777 nucleotides. The record is from RefSeq and is a predicted model, not a curated record. NCBI's taxonomy places the organism in Eukaryota, Metazoa, Chordata, Mammalia, Rodentia, Bathyergidae.